Molecule: ribosomal RNA, 196 nt
Filed under: uncultured bacterium
Lineage: Bacteria
Description: partial 16S ribosomal RNA
Rfam family: Bacterial small subunit ribosomal RNA
Source: RNAcentral
ACUCCUACGGGAGGCAGCAGUUUCGAAUCAUUCACAAUGGGCGAAAGCCUGAUGGUGCGACGCCGCGUGAGGGAUGAAGGUCUUCGGAUUGUAAACCUCUGUCACUGGGGAGAAAACGCUUUGAGUUAAUAGUUCAAAGCCUGAUUUAACCCGGAGAGGAAGCAGUGGCUAACUCUGUGCCAGCAGCCGCGGUAAU